CGGGUGUCCACUUGUUUGUGCAAUACACAGCCAAAAAAAAUGUCCUUGAAACAAAAUUGUCCUUAGCUGCUCUGCCCUCUAAGAGGGGGCAUAGUUUACAUGGGAGUUGGGGGGGAAACUCCAUGUUUGCCCCUUCCCCUUGCUGACAUGGCUUGGGGUGGGAGUUGGAGGGUUGGAGGGAAAGCCAGAAACCUCAAAUCUUCUCUCAGCAUUAUAACCUGGGGAGAGUGUGCUUAGCCUUCCUGGAAAUCAGCCAGAAGUAAGAGAGAACUCUCCACACCCCUGGGACCAGAGGCUGGAGCCAGCAUGGUAAGAAAGGCAAACAUUUUAAGGGGCAAGGGUUUAAGGAAUCUUGACUAUGGGGCCGCCUUGGAACAGCCAGGGGUGAAGAGACACCUAAGCUUCGGAGAAGUCACUGGAAUCUUGAGAGAACAAAAGCUUCUCAUUGGAGGAGGAUGGAGGUUGGAACCCAGAUGAUCUAGACAUGGAAGGGCAGGGUGGCUCCCGCGGGAGGUUCUAUCUCUGCCCAGAUUUUCCAUUUAGAUUCUGAUUCAUCAUUCCUCAGAGAACAAGAAGCGACCGAGAAGACUCGCUUUACAUCAGUAUAAAGUCAUAGGUAAAGAAACAGAAGCAAAGGGCGCAUGAGAAUGGGGCCACAGGACACAACCAGGGACCAGAACUCCAGGCCGGACCAUGGGGCAGAGACAGGGAGGCAGCUGGGAGCCUGGGGGCGCUGGAAUCCAGGGCCCAAGGUGAGCAGAGGGUGGAAGCUGGUGAGGAUUCAGGGGCCAGAGGGGAUGGCACUUCAGAACGGUGUUUUCCAAAUGGCAUUCUACUGAAUCCAACUUCUUCCAGCUGUGAAUAAGGAUGCUUGUCCAGGUACAUUUGAAAAUGUGGGGGAAGGGGCUUUCUACCCUCACUCUACUUCUGCUCUUCUUUUCCCCAUGAGUGAAUGACCAGGCACCAGGACAUUGGUGAGGACAGCUUUGCCGGUGGGCGAAGGUCACUGUUUCUAUCAGGCACUGCACACCUGUAGGUCUCUCUCUCUUUCUCUCACCUGUAGGUCUCUCUCUCUUUCUCUCAUUCUUCCUACCCCCCAUGACUCCCCGACUUUAUGGGGCUGAAGGGCUGGUAAGCUGA
RNAcentral lists this long non-coding RNA (1140 nucleotides) under Homo sapiens (human). RNAcentral's name for it is "HSALNT0048500". The record is from RNAcentral. Lineage: Eukaryota; Metazoa; Chordata; Mammalia; Primates; Hominidae.